ACCCUUUAACGUUUGAUGUUCUAACCCGGGUCCAUAAUCUGGAUCGGGGACCGUGUCUGGUGGGUAGUUUGACUGGGGCGGUCUCCUCCCAAAGAGUAACGGAGGAGCACGAAGGUUGGCUAAGCAUGGUCGGACAUCAUGCGGUUAGUGCAAAGGCAUAAGCCAGCUUGACUGCGAGAGUGACGGCUCGAGCAGGUACGAAAGUAGGUCUUAGUGAUCCGGUGGUUCUGAAUGGAAGGGCCAUCGCUCAACGGAUAAAAGGUACUCCGGGGAUAACAGGCUGAUACCGCCCAAGAGUUCAUAUCGACGGCGGUGUUUGGCACCUCGAUGUCGGCUCAUCACAUCCUGGGGCUGAAGUAGGUCCCAAGGGUAUGGCUGUUCGCCAUUUAAAGUGGUACGCGAGCUGGGUUUAGAACGUCGUGAGACAGUUCGGUCCCUAUCUGCCGUGGGCGCUGGAAGAUUGAGAGGGGUUGCUCCUAGUACGAGAGGACCGGAGUGAACGCACCACUGGUGUACGGGUUGUGAUGCCAAUUGCAUUGCCCGGUAGCUAAGUGCGGAAGAGAUAACCGCUGAAAGCAUCUAAGCGGGAAACUUGCCUCGAGAUGAGUCUUCCCUGACCCUUUAAGGGUCCUGAAGGAACGUUUGAGACUAAGACGUUGAUAGGCUGGGUGUGUAAGCGCAGCGAUGCGUUGAGCUGACCAGUACUAAUGAACCGUGAG
Molecule: ribosomal RNA, 719 nt
Filed under: Morganella morganii
Lineage: Bacteria; Pseudomonadati; Pseudomonadota; Gammaproteobacteria; Enterobacterales; Morganellaceae
Description: partial 23S ribosomal RNA
Rfam family: Bacterial large subunit ribosomal RNA
Source: RNAcentral